Molecule: long non-coding RNA, 710 nt
Filed under: Chrysemys picta bellii (western painted turtle)
Lineage: Eukaryota; Metazoa; Chordata; Testudines; Emydidae
Description: lncRNA (ENSCPBG00000015427.1)
Source: RNAcentral
AAAACACCCCCCCCCCCCAAUCAAAACAUUUCUUUUUGACCUUUUUCAAAUUAAGUAUUUGGAUUUUUCUGUUUGAAAUUACUGGCAUUUAUAAUCAAAGAAAAGGAAAUUUUGAAACAAUCACAAACUUUUAAAAACAAAACAUUUCAAUUUUGUCAAAAAAUGUUCCACUCAACCUAAAGCAAUCUAAAAUACAAACUCAGAAUUGACAACAAACCACAAAAUCUAUUAUUCACAAAGCUAGAGGAGUUCAGAUAAGCUUAUGUGAGUGCAGCUUGUUACACACAGAUAAGUUAGCUCUUCAUCCUUCCAACUACAGCUAACUCUUUGCAGUAAUCUCCGUGGCCGCACGACAAAGUGCCAGUGGGAUGCUGUGCUGGAGAACUACUGUUACCCAGACGUACUGUCGUUAUUGCCGGUGAAGUACAAUAAAUCGUUGAUGAGCUACAAUACAGUAAAUGGAAUUCCUUCCUACCCUACCAUAACCUUUCAGUUUCCAAUGAGGCCUUAAAAGAGAGAGAGAAAACCAUGCCUUGGACAGACAUGGUAGGUGCCAAAAAUAUCUCAACAAACAAGUAGAAAAACAGUAAUCUAGCAUUUUAGAUUUAAGAUUGAUCAGAAUGCUGGUAUGACGGUGUCAUCAGGGCUGAUGGGUUUUAACUCAGCCUGAUGAGAACUUGUUGACAAUCAGUGAGUCUUUGUGAAUGACC